RNAcentral lists this transfer RNA (74 nucleotides) under Nitrososphaerota archaeon. RNAcentral describes it as "tRNA-Asn". It matches the Rfam family "tRNA". Rfam says of the family: Transfer RNA (tRNA) molecules are approximately 80 nucleotides in length. Their secondary structure includes four short double-helical elements and three loops (D, anti-codon, and T loops). The record is from RNAcentral. Lineage: Archaea; Thermoproteati; Nitrososphaerota.
GCCGCCGUAGCUCAGCGUGGUAGAGCAGUUGGCUGUUAACCAAUUGGUCGCCCGUUCAAGUCGGGCCGGCGGCG